RNAcentral lists this ribosomal RNA (256 nucleotides) under uncultured bacterium. RNAcentral describes it as "partial 16S ribosomal RNA". It matches the Rfam family "Bacterial small subunit ribosomal RNA", at positions 15 to 244 of the family's 1533-position model. The record is from RNAcentral.
GAUCCUGGCUCAGGACGAACGCUGGCGGCGUGCUUAACACAUGCAAGUCGAACGAAAAGAGGGAAAGAGCUUGCUCUUUCCGGAAUUGAGUGGCAAACGGGUGAGUAACACGUAAACAACCUGCCUUCAGGAUGGGGACAACAGACGGAAACGACUGCUAAUACCGAAUAAGUUCCAAGAGCCGCAUGGCCCAUGGAAGAAAAGGUGGCCUCUACCUGUAAAGCUAUCGCCUGAAGAGGGGUUUGCGUCUGAUUAG